This 32-nucleotide non-coding RNA is filed under the name uncultured Symbiodinium. Lineage: Eukaryota; Dinophyceae; Suessiales; Symbiodiniaceae. The record is from RNAcentral.
GCCAGGGCAGGGAUGAAGCAGCAGCAGCAGGU